This is a long non-coding RNA of Spinacia oleracea (spinach), 1304 nucleotides long. RefSeq lists it as uncharacterized. NCBI's taxonomy places the organism in Eukaryota, Viridiplantae, Streptophyta, Magnoliopsida, Caryophyllales, Amaranthaceae. The transcript is spliced from 8 exons. The record is from RefSeq and is a predicted model, not a curated record.
UCCCCCGUAAAUUUAUGAAUUUUAUUAAAUAUAUUUUAACGUAUAUUACUUAUAUUUAAAUAGAAUUUAUGAAUUUUAGUAAUAAAAAUAUAAUUAACGUAUAUUUAUUUUAUUUUAUUUACGUUUUAAAUAUUUUAACGAUUUAUGAAAUUAAAAGUAAUUUUAGAAUUUUACGUUGAAAAGAAUUCGAAUUACGAAAACGCGUUCGAUUGAAUUUGGAUAAACAAUCCUAACUAUUUUUGGAUUCGAACAACCUCAAUUUUAGUCCUAGCCCAAGUUGGCAAAUCCCAAAGAAGUAAACCCAUAUCCCAACCCAUGUUCCAAUUUCACGUAAACAACCCUCCUCUCCUCUCAUUCAACUUCACGUGAAAAACCCAAACAACAAAACCUCCUUCUCUCCUGCCGCCCUGCCGCCGCCCAGCCGUCGGACCUCUACCGUGUUCUCGCCGCCGCAACCACAGAAGCUCCGUGAGCUUUCCUCGUCGUCGGCGCAACCACCAGCGCAGCCGCCGCGCAGAUCCCGACCACCGGCCCGUGCAUGCUGCACAACCUCGCUGCCACCACGCACCGCCGUGUGCCGACCACCCUCGUCGUUGCGGCGCUGCCAUUGCCGCCGGCCAGCAGUACCUUCUUCUUCUUUUGGCGGAGAAUUCUCUAUAGGUGACUUUUGAAUUAUUAAAGUGGUCUUGCAGUUUGUUUACACAAGCAACCACAGAAGCUCCGUGAGCUUUCCUCGUCGUCGGCGCAACCACCAGCGCAGCCGCCGCGCAGAUCCCGACCACCGGCCCGUGCAUGCUGCACAACCUCGCUGCCACCACGCACCGCCGUGUGCCGACCACCCUCGUCGUUGCGGCGCUGCCAUUGCCGCCGGCCAGCAGUACCUUCUUCUUCUUUUGGCGGAGAAUUCUCUAUAGGUGACUUUUGAAUUAUUAAAGUGGUCUUGCAGUUUGUUUACACAAGUCUCUAAGGAUCAAUAAGCGUUGCCCAUCUACAGGUUUGAAGAUAUAUGAUGCAUCAUUGGGAUCGGGAUUAGAGAGUUUGUAGUUAUAUUUGUUUUGUUAAGUGAUUUGGUUCGUUAACUUAGACUUGAAAUUUGUCGUACUAUUCGUAUUUCCUUAUUUUCGUUAAUUGGUUUUUGGACUUAAUAUGUAAUCGAUUAUUAUGAACCUAAAAGUUAGUUUUAUGUUUUCCGCUGCAAAAUUCUGAAUAAGCCGUUACGUUUUCACACGGGCGAUAAUACUUUGAUAAUUCUCUAUAGGUAUAUUUAUAAAAGGGUUAUUUUAGAAAAAGGGAAUUGUCGGGGU